This 2225-nucleotide ribosomal RNA is filed under the name Platycotylus sp. CO1010. RNAcentral describes it as "eukaryotic LSU rRNA". It matches the Rfam family "Eukaryotic large subunit ribosomal RNA", at positions 73 to 1873 of the family's 3401-position model. The record is from RNAcentral. Lineage: Eukaryota; Metazoa; Arthropoda; Insecta; Coleoptera; Tenebrionidae.
GAUUCCCUUAGUAGCGGCGAGCGAACAGGGAAAAGCCCAGCACUGAAUCCCGCGGCCAAAACUGGACGCCGGGAAAUGUGGUGUUAGGGAGGGUCCGUUAUCCUGAGAUUGUGCGGUGCGUCCAAGUCCAUCUUGAACGGGGCCACAGCCCAUAGAGGGUGCCAGGCCCGUAGUGACCACUGCCGAUAACGGGAGGAUCUCUCCUCAGAGUCGGGUUGCUUGAGAGUGCAGCCCUAAGUGGGUGGUAAACUCCAUCUAAGGCUAAAUAUGACCACGAGACCGAUAGCGAACAAGUACCGUGAGGGAAAGUUGAAAAGAACUUUGAAGAGAGAGUUCAAUAGUACGUGAAACCGUUCAGGGGUAAACCUGAGAAACCCGAAAGGUCGAAAGAGGAGAUUCAGCGUGUUUCGAUAAUGGCGUUAAAUAUUUGUACGACAAAUAGCGUACGCGUUGUUUGCGUCUUUUGUUUUUCGAACCACAAUCGAACGCGUGCACUUCUCCUCCUGUAGGACGUCGCGAUCUGUUGGGUGUCGAUCUACGGCUUGCAGUGGAGCCCGUUCGUUUACGGUUUACCGUUUCGUUCGGACCUGCAAUGUUCCUGGUCGGCUCGCUCGACAGUAUACAGAUGGUGUAAGGUCGCUACAAAGUUAGCGUUUGAUCUUUGGCAAGCGUGCUUGUUUAGAUGGUCGAUUGGACCUAGUGCCGAUCCCGUCUUCAAGCUACUGUUGGCUAAAGUAUUCUCUGACUGACCUUAAUGAAACACUUAUCUGCGACGCUAUAGCUUUGGGUACUUUCAGGACCCGUCUUGAAACACGGACCAAGGAGUCUAGCAUGUGCGCGAGUCAUUGGGAUUUUUUACUAAACCUAAAGGCGCAAUGAAAGUGAAAGUCAACCUUGCGUUGAUUUAGGGAGGAUGGGCAAACGCUUUUGUUUUUGCCUCGCACUCCCGGGGCGUCUCAUUCUCAUUGCGAGAAGAGGCGCACCAAGAGCGUACACGCUGGGACCCGAAAGAUGGUGAACUAUGCCUGGUCAGGACGAAGUCAGGGGAAACCCUGAUGGAGGUCCGUAGCGAUUCUGACGUGCAAAUCGAUCGUCGGAACUGGGUAUAGGGGCGAAAGACUAAUCGAACCAUCUAGUAGCUGGUUCCCUCCGAAGUUUCCCUCAGGAUAGCUGGCGUUCAUUACGCACGAGUUUCAUCCGGUAAAGCGAAUGAUUAGAGGCAUUGGGGUCGAAACGGCCUCAACCUAUUCUCAAACUUUAAAUGGGUGAGAUCUCCGGCUUGCUCGAACUAUUGAAGCCGUGAGACUCGAAUCAGAGUGCCAAGUGGGCCAUUUUUGGUAAGCAGAACUGGCGCUGUGGGAUGAACCAAACGCUAAGUUAAAGCGCCUAAAUCGACGCUUAUGGGAUACCAUGAAAGGCGUUGGUAACUUAAGACAUCAGGACGGUGGCCAUGGAAGUCGGAAUCCGCCAAGGAGUGUGUAACAACUCACCUGCCGAAGUUACUAGCCCUGAAAAUGGAUGGCGCUGAAGCGUCGUGCUUAUACUUAGCCGUCAGCGGCAUGUGCGGUCAGAUUAUUUAUUUAAUUGGCCAUGAAGCUCUGACGAGUAGGAGGGUCGCGACGGUGAGCGCAGAAGGACUGGCCGUGAGGCCGUCUGGAGCCGCCGUCGGUGCAGAUCUUGGUGGUAGUAGCAAAUACUCCAGCGAGGCCCUGGAGGACUGACGUGGAGAAGGGUUUCGUGUGAACAGCCGUUGCACACGAGUCAGUCGAUCCUAAGCCCUAGGCGAAAGCCGAUGUUGAUGUGGUGUAGAUUUGUCGUUGAUACGCUCGAAUAAUACAUACAUUCAAACAUACAUACGUUAAAUAUUUUUUUCGACGUUUAAACGUAUAAACUGCGCACACACCCGUUGGGCGAAAGGGAAUCCGGUUCCUAUUCCGGAACCCGGCAGCGGAACCGUUUAUGCUUCGGGCCCUCGAAAGAGAGUUCGUCGGGGCAACCCAAAAUGACCCGGAGACGCCGUCGGGAGAUCCAGGAAGAGUUUUCUUUUCUGCAUAAGCGUUCGAGUUCCAUGGAAUCCUCUAGCAGGGAGAUAUGGUUUGGAACGCGAAGAGCACCGCAGUUGCGGCGGUGUCUGGAUCUUCCCCUCGGACCUUGAAAAUUCGGGAGAGGGCCACGUGGAGCUGUCGCGCCGGUUCGUACCCAUAUCCGCAGCAGGUCUCCAAGGU